GGCUCUGUGAUUAUGAGGCUCUAUUGGGCAAUAUACGUUAUUCUGAUUUAUAGAGAGUAGAAAAUUUAUAUUUUUGAAUACAUUUUACCAUGUCGAAAUCAACAAUGAGAGCU
This is a small nucleolar RNA of Humulus lupulus (European hop), 113 nucleotides long. RefSeq annotates it as small nucleolar RNA U54. The transcript has a single exon. Lineage: Eukaryota; Viridiplantae; Streptophyta; Magnoliopsida; Rosales; Cannabaceae. The record is from RefSeq and is a predicted model, not a curated record.